This 306-nucleotide ribosomal RNA is filed under the name uncultured bacterium. Its description in RNAcentral is "partial 16S ribosomal RNA". It matches the Rfam family "Bacterial small subunit ribosomal RNA", at positions 507 to 807 of the family's 1533-position model. The record is from RNAcentral.
GACAGCAGUCGCCGCGGUAAUACAGAGGGUGCGAGCGUUAAUCGGAUUUACUGGGCGUAAAGCGUGCGUAGGCGGCUUCUUAAGUCGGAUGUGAAAUCCCUGAGCUUAACUUAGGAAUUGCAUUCGAUACUGGGAAGCUAGAGUAUGGGAGAGGAUGGUAGAAUUCCAGGUGUAGCGGUGAAAUGCGUAGAGAUCUGGAGGAAUACCGAUGGCGAAGGCAGCCAUCUGGCCUAAUACUGACGCUGAGGUACGAAAGCAUGGGGAGCAAACAGGAUUAGAGACCCCAGUAGUCCCUGUCUCUUAUAC